Long non-coding RNA from Gopherus evgoodei (Goodes thornscrub tortoise), 470 nucleotides. RefSeq lists it as uncharacterized. The record is from RefSeq and is a predicted model, not a curated record. Lineage: Eukaryota; Metazoa; Chordata; Testudines; Testudinidae. The transcript has 5 exons.
GGGCUAGCGCCGUGCUGGGAGCAGAGCCAGAGGCAGGGGAGGAAAGCCGUCCUGGGAGCAGAGCCAGAGGCAGAGGAACAGAGCCGUGCUGGGAGCAAAGUCACAGCAGCAGGUUGAGGGGCCAGAAGAGCAACCCAGGGAGCUGUGCUGGAGGCAGAGCAGCAGCAGUGGUGGAGCUGGAGGUUCCUGGAGCCUGUUCAUGAACUUGACGUCAGUGAAAGAGGAAGAUAAUGUGGAUGGUGUUUGGUGCAUCAGGAAAGCCUUCUGAUCAGGUUAACAGCAGAUGCAGUCCAAUCUCUGAACCCUGUUUGAAGAGCGUUCCACUGUAGCAUCCAGUCCCUGUCACUGGACACUCACAGGUUUUACCAGAUGCAACCUUGAGAUCUCUGCUCCCUGUGUUAUCAACGGCUGAGAGACUACAAAACCUCCGGAAGAAGCCACGAAAAAGCAAAGAAGACAUGCUGCAAGCA